Molecule: long non-coding RNA, 674 nt
Organism: Ochotona princeps (American pika)
Lineage: Eukaryota; Metazoa; Chordata; Mammalia; Lagomorpha; Ochotonidae
Exons: 5
Source: RefSeq, a predicted model, not a curated record
UUGUGUUAUGACAAGCAGAAGAGCAAGCAGAGACUAGGGCAGAAUCGAUCUGAACUGGAAUCAAGUUUAAGGAGGAGACAGGCUAUAGCCAGAUGGUCUCUGCAAAGGAAAUGAGACCAGUCUCAGAUUCUGAAAGAUCUCAGAGGGAUCAGAAAAGCCUGGCACUAAGUCGGCUCCAAGAGAAGAGGAACAUUGGCCUCAAAGGGAACUGAAGUCCUUUCCCUCUUCACAAAGAGAAAGCAAAAGUGUGUUCCCCCAACACCUGACCUUCACAGCUGCCAAGCGUCCUCCGGCUUUGUGCCAAGGCACUGGCGCUCACCUACUUUUGCCCCAUCAAUGCACAUAGAGACUGACUUCCCCCUUGAGCUCUUAUCAAGGUCUCCUCCUGGAAGCUUAUUCUGGUAGCCGGGAAACCUGGGAAACAAGACUCAACUGCUCCGUGGCCCGUCUUUAUCCCUGCACUGUAGCUUGGGUCCUAUCGCCUGCUAACUAGCUGACCCAUGCGUUGCAGCAGAGGACUGUCUAUGCUAUCACAACUACCCAUCACAAGUUGCAAACAAUGUGAGCUAGCCAGUUGCCAGACUGAAUUGACUCUAUUCCAAAGCUAAGAAGUAUAAUGUUAUUAUUAACUUAUGUAAAUAGACAUAUGAUACAAAUAUAAUUUUCUUUAGAGA